GCCCAGGUGGCGAAAUUGGUAGACGCGCCAGCUUCAGGUGCUGGUUCUGUCAAAGGAGUGGGGGUUCGAGUCCCUUCCUGGGCACCA
This 87-nucleotide transfer RNA is filed under the name Alphaproteobacteria bacterium. Its description in RNAcentral is "tRNA-Leu". It matches the Rfam family "tRNA". Rfam says of the family: Transfer RNA (tRNA) molecules are approximately 80 nucleotides in length. Lineage: Bacteria; Pseudomonadati; Pseudomonadota; Alphaproteobacteria. RNAcentral also lists the same sequence under 1 other name. The record is from RNAcentral.